This 593-nucleotide small RNA is filed under the name Pan troglodytes (chimpanzee). RNAcentral's name for it is "retained intron". The record is from RNAcentral. Lineage: Eukaryota; Metazoa; Chordata; Mammalia; Primates; Hominidae.
AGGAGAAGGAGACAGUACAAGUGAAGGCACAAGGUGUACACGGGGUCGAUGUCUUCACGGACCAGGUAGAACAUGAGAAGCAAAGGAUCCUCACAGAAUUUGAACUCCUGCAUCAAGUCCUAGAGGAGGAGAAGAAUUUCCUGCUAUCACGGAUUUACUGGCUGGGUCAUGAGGGAACGGAAGCGGGGAAACACUAUGUUGCCUCCACUGAGCCACAGUUGAACGAUCUCAAGAAGCUCAUUGAUUCCCUGAAGACCAAGCAGAACAUGCCACCCAGGCAGCUGCUGGAGGAUAUCAAAGUCGUCUUGUGCAGGUAUGAUGGGCCACCCCAAAUGUAUUUUGCCUACUGAUUCAUCCACAUACAAUUCUCAGCGUAUAUCCAAAUGCAGUCAACAUUCCUCUCUCAGAAAUACCCACCCACCUCUAACUUUGCAUUCAUACAUUUAGGCUGCAGCCGGGGAAUGCCUAUGCCAACCAUAUUAGCACGUGGUUGGUUGUUAAAGAAACCAGCUGUUUUCUCAGGCUUCCUCCUUCUUCAGCACAGAUUCUACUAUUUCCUGAAUGCCCCCUUGCUCAACUGAAUAGCUCCUGGG